This 512-nucleotide long non-coding RNA is filed under the name Malus domestica (apple). Its description in RNAcentral is "long non-coding RNA (MDOM_LNC009226)". Lineage: Eukaryota; Viridiplantae; Streptophyta; Magnoliopsida; Rosales; Rosaceae. The record is from RNAcentral.
AACCAUCACCCAUCAAAAUUAAACCAAAACUUUAUGAAAAACAUUAAAUUUUUGAAUCAAAAGUCCAAACCUUUUUGUUCUUGGCAAGAACUUCAAGAACAUUGAAGAACACUCAUGAAAACUCAUAAUAGCUCCAUUAAUGUUUUCACUCACCAAAAACUCAAAUUUUCAAUACUCAAAAGAGGGCUAACAUCCUAGGGUACUUAGGGGUUCCAAAAGUCACUUUAAAACCAUUUUAACAAGACAAACAUGAACCCAAAAAAUCACCCUUUGGAUUUGGCCGAAUUUCCCAACAUACAUGGCACCAAAUUUUAGUUCUAAUAUUCAUGCUUAAAUGAAAUACAUCUACAACAUUUGAGAUGCUAAAUUUUCUAGCAAAAUUUAUAUUCAAAAGCAAGAACAAAGCUUGUAACAUUUACAACAUUUAAAUCACAAACCAUGAAAAACACAAAACCCAAAAGGAUUCACCAUAAACUAGGCCUAGGCUCUGAUACCACUUGAAGGAAAAAUUU